UACGUAGGGAGCAAGCGUUGUCCGGAAUCAUUGGGCGUAAAGCGCGCGUAGGCGGCCUCAUAAGUCCGUUGUGAAAGUCAAAGGCUCAACCUUUGAAAGCCGAUGGAUACUGUGAGGCUAGAGUCCGGAAGAGGCGAGUGGAAUUCCUGGUGUAGCGGUGGAAUGCGUAGAUAUCGGGAGGAACAUCAGUGGCGAAGGCGGCCCUCUGGUCCAGUACUGACACUCAAGUGCGAAAGCGUGGGGAGCAAACAGG
This 253-nucleotide ribosomal RNA is filed under the name uncultured bacterium. RNAcentral describes it as "partial 16S ribosomal RNA". It matches the Rfam family "Bacterial small subunit ribosomal RNA", at positions 524 to 776 of the family's 1533-position model. The record is from RNAcentral.